UUGAGUGUUAAUGUUUUGUACCUGAGUAGUAUUAGUUAUGUUCUUGAAACUUAAAGAAUUUGGCGGUAUCUUAUUCCGUUCAGAGGAAUCUGUCUCGUUAUCGAUAGUCCGCGUUGGACCUUACUUGGAUUUGUUGUUAGUUUGUAUACCGCCGUUUAUUGAUUAUCUUUUUAGAGUUGGUUAAUUUUCUGGUUUCUUUAUUUUGAUUUAUUGCAGGUCAAGGUGCAGCUUUUUCUAAGUGUAAUGAUGGAUUACAGUGUUAUUUGUUUUUGGAUUGUUUGUUUUAAUAUUUACAUGAAAUUGGAUUUGGUUGUAAUGUUUUGUAGAUUGUUUUCAUGAUAUUGGUUCUAGGAUAUGUACACAUCGCCCGUCGCUCUCGUUUAGUUGUUA
RNAcentral lists this ribosomal RNA (390 nucleotides) under Ancistrotermes cavithorax. RNAcentral describes it as "partial small subunit ribosomal RNA". The record is from RNAcentral. Lineage: Eukaryota; Metazoa; Arthropoda; Insecta; Blattodea; Termitidae.